AGUGAACGCUGGCGGUAGGCCUAACACAUGCAAGUCGAACGGCAGCACAGUAAGAGCUUGCUCUUACGGGUGGAGAGUGGCGGACGGGUGAGGAAUACAUCGGAAUCUACUUUUUCGUGGGGGAUAACGUAGGGAAACUUACGCUAAUACCGCAUACGACCUACGGGUGAAAGCAGGGGAUCUUCGGACCUUGCGCGAUUGAAUGAGCCGAUGUCGGAUUAGCUAGUUGGCGGGGUAAAGGCCCACCAAGGCGACGAUCCGUAGCUGGUCUGAGAGGAUGAUCAGCCACACUGGAACUGAGACACGGUCCAGACUCCUACGGGAGGCAGCAGUGGGGAAUAUUGGACAAUGGGCGCAAGCCUGAUCCAGCCAUACCGCGUGGGUGAAGAAGGCCUUCGGGUUGUAAAGCCCUUUUGUUGGGAAAGAAAAGCAGCAGGUUAAUACCCCGCUGUUCUGACGGUACCCAAAGAAUAAGCACCGGCUAACUUCGUG
This 492-nucleotide ribosomal RNA is filed under the name uncultured bacterium. RNAcentral's name for it is "partial 16S ribosomal RNA". It matches the Rfam family "Bacterial small subunit ribosomal RNA", at positions 29 to 507 of the family's 1533-position model. The record is from RNAcentral.